Molecule: ribosomal RNA, 298 nt
Filed under: uncultured bacterium
Lineage: Bacteria
Description: partial 16S ribosomal RNA
Rfam family: Bacterial small subunit ribosomal RNA
Source: RNAcentral
GUGCAUAACACAUGCAAGUCGAGCGAGACUGUUUGAGAUUACAUCAAGAGCAGUUUAGCGGCAGACGAGUGAGUAACACGUAAGAAAUCUACCCCGAAGAAGGGAACAACUUGCCGAAAGGUGAGCUAAUACCCUAUAUAAUCCUAAGUUGGCAUCAUCCUGGGAUGAAAGACGUAAGUCGCUUUGGGAGGAUCUUGCGACCUAUCAGCUUGUUGGUGAGGUAACGGCUCACCAAGGCUAUGACGGGUAGCCGGCCUGAAAGGGCGACCGGCCACGGAGGCACUGAGAAACGGGCCUC